RNAcentral lists this ribosomal RNA (253 nucleotides) under uncultured bacterium. Its description in RNAcentral is "partial 16S ribosomal RNA". It matches the Rfam family "Bacterial small subunit ribosomal RNA", at positions 524 to 776 of the family's 1533-position model. The record is from RNAcentral.
UACGAAGGGGGCGAGCGUUAUUCGGAAUCACUGGGCGUAAAGGGUGCGUAGGCGGGUUUUUAAGUCAGGGGUGAAAUCCUGGAGCUCAACUCCAGAACUGCCUUUGAUACUGAAGAUCUUGAGUCCGGGAGAGGUGAGUGGAACUGCGAGUGUAGAGGUGAAAUUCGUAGAUAUUCGCAAGAGCACCAGUGGCGAAGGCGGCUCACUGGCCCGGUACUGACGCUGAGGCACGAAAGCGUGGGGAGCAAACAGG